RNAcentral lists this ribosomal RNA (399 nucleotides) under uncultured bacterium. RNAcentral's name for it is "bacterial SSU rRNA". It matches the Rfam family "Bacterial small subunit ribosomal RNA", at positions 358 to 773 of the family's 1533-position model. The record is from RNAcentral.
GGAAUCUUGCACAAUGGGCGAAAGCCUGAUGCAGCAACGCCGCGUGCGGGAUGAAGGCCCUAGGGUUGUAAACCGCUUUCAGUAGGGAAGAACAUGACGGUACCUACAGAAGAAGGUGCGGCCAACUACGUGCCAGCCGCCGCGGUGACACGUAGGCACCAAGCGUUAUCCGGAUUUAUUGGGCGUAAAGAGCUCGUAGGCGGUUCGGUAAGUCGGGUGUGAAAACUCUGGGCUCAACCCAGAGAGGCCACCCGAUACUGCUGUGACUAGAGUGCGGUAGGGGAGCGGGGAAUUCAUGGUGUAGCGGUGAAAUGCGCAGAUAUCAUGAGGAACACCAGUGGCGAAGGCGCCGCUCUGGGCCGUAACUGACGCUGAGGAGCGAAAGCAUGGGUAGCAAAC